Non-coding RNA from Picea glauca (white spruce), 122 nucleotides. NCBI's taxonomy places the organism in Eukaryota, Viridiplantae, Streptophyta, Pinopsida, Pinales, Pinaceae. The record is from Rfam.
GAUUUCAAUCAUACCAGUGUUAAUGCACUGAAUCCCAUCAGAAAUCUGCAUUUAAGCAUGCUUGGGAUAGAGUAGUACUAAUGUGGGUGACCUCCCAGGAAGUCUAGAAUUCCUAGUGUUUC